UAUUGGGCAAUGGGCGCAAGCCUGACCCAGCAACGCCGCGUGAAGGAAGAAGGCUUUCGGGGUGUAAACUUCUUUUCUCAGGGACGAAGCAAGUGACGGUAUCUGAGGAAUAAGCCACGGCUAACUACGUGCCAGCAGCCGCGGUAAUACGUAGGUGGCAAGCGUUGUUCGGAUUUACUGGGUGUAAAGGGCGUGUAGCCGGGUUGACAAGUCAGAUGUGAAAUCCUGCGGCUUAACCGCAGAACCGCAUUUGAAACUGUUGAUCUUGAGUACUGGAGAGGCAGACGGAAUUCCUAGUGUAGCGGUGAAAUGCGUAGAUAUUAGGAGGAACACCAGUGGCGAAGGCGGUCUGCUGGACAGCAACUGACGGUGAGGCGCGAAAGCGUGGGGAGCAAACAGG
Molecule: ribosomal RNA, 400 nt
Filed under: uncultured bacterium
Lineage: Bacteria
Description: bacterial SSU rRNA
Rfam family: Bacterial small subunit ribosomal RNA
Source: RNAcentral